Molecule: ribosomal RNA, 460 nt
Filed under: uncultured bacterium
Lineage: Bacteria
Description: partial 16S ribosomal RNA
Rfam family: Bacterial small subunit ribosomal RNA
Source: RNAcentral
CCUACGGGAGGCAGCAGUGAGGAAUAUUGGUCAAUGGGCGGAAGCCUGAACCAGCCAAGUCGCGUGAGGGAAUAAGGCCCUACGGGUCGUAAACCUCUUUUGCCGGGGAGCAAGGGCGGGGACGUGUCCCGGCCCGGAGAGUACCCGGAGAAAAAGCAUCGGCUAACUCCGUGCCAGCAGCCGCGGUAAUACGGAGGAUGCGAACGUUAUCCGGAUGUAUUGGGUUUAAAGGGAGCGUAGACGGGCGUUCAAGUCAGCUGUAAAAUCGCGCGGCUCAACCGCGCCCCGCAGUUGAAACUGGACGCCUUGAGUUCACAACAGGCAGGCGGAAUUCGUGGUGUAGCGGUGAAAUGCAUAGAUAUCACGAGGAACCCCGAUUGCGAAGGCAGCCUGCCGGGGUGCGACUGACGCUGAGGCUCGAAGGUGCGGGUAUCAAACAGGAUUAGAUACCCGAGUAGUC